This 497-nucleotide ribosomal RNA is filed under the name uncultured bacterium. Its description in RNAcentral is "partial 16S ribosomal RNA". It matches the Rfam family "Bacterial small subunit ribosomal RNA", at positions 28 to 507 of the family's 1533-position model. The record is from RNAcentral.
GAUGAACGCUGGCGGCGUGCCUAAUACAUGCGAGUCGAGCGAACAGAUGAGGAGCUUGCUCGUCUGACGUUAGCGGCGGACGGGUGAGUAACACGUGGAUAACCUACCUAUAAGACUGGGAUAACUUCGGGAAACCGGAGCUAAUACCGGAUAAUAUAUUGAACCGCAUGGUUCAAUAGUGAAAGACGGUUUUGCUGUCACUUAUAGAUGGAUCCGCGCCGCAUUAGCUAGUUGGUAAGGUAACGGCUUACCAAGGCGACGAUGCGUAGCCGACCUGAGAGGGUGAUCGGCCACACUGGAACUGAGACACGGUCCAGACUCCUACGGGAGGCAGCAGUAGGGAAUCUUCCACAAUGGGCGAAAGCCUGACGGAGCAACGCCGCGUGAGUGAUGAAGGUCUUCGGAUCGUAAAACUCUGUUAUUAGGGAAGAACAAAUGUGUAAGUAACUAUGCACGUCUUGACGGUACCUAAUCAGAAAGCCACGGCUAACUACGUG